GUCUUCCUCACCCAGCCCAGCACACUACUCAACAUGCCUCUAUGGGUUUUUUGGUUAAUUGGGCUCUCUAUAUAACCCGCAAAGAGGAGUACACACUUGAAAUGAUUGUAAACAAUUUUUGCUGUAAAAGAGUAUUCAUCUGACUUCUCACGAUUUCCUAGGAGAAACAAGAUUACAGAUGACAAACUAUUAACCUUAUGGACAAGAUGGGGGUAUAUUCCCCGCUCUGCUGCCAGCUCUCUAUGUGAUCUUCAGCCAGGGGGAAAAAACCUGCAACAGACUAAACACCUCCUUAGUCACAGAGACUGAGUGCUGCAACAGGCUCACCAUGAAAAAAAAGAAUCUGAUGCUGAGAGCAUCCGAGGAAAUGAAAAGCAGAUGAAGCUACAGCCUCCCUAAGCAUCAAAUACAUUCAGAAAGGCAUGUGAAAGGCAGCAUGAUGUGGAAUCUGUGAGAGAGGACAAUUCUCAAUAGGAACUGGGAUUUAUAUGCCGUAUAUAUUGCACAUUAUUAGAACUGAGGUCUAAAAUUUCCUUUCUGCCAGUGCCAUUCAGUCACUGAAAUGUCCUUCUCUCAGCUCGCCAUCUGCCGUUGUGCUAAUAAGGAAGUUACAGGGAAUGAAGUAUGUGCACUGGUGUAAAGAAAAUAAACAGGGGAGUGCAAAACUGCUAAAAAUAAUCCCAGGAACUAGGGAAUUGUGGUUUAUGGAGGAGAACACAGAUACUUGUUCCUCCCCCUCUGUCCACCACAAUCAAGGCCUUGUCUGAACAGGUGGUGGGUUUUACAGUAAAUCCUUAAAAAAAAAAAUUCCUUCUUAGUCACUGCACUGG
Long non-coding RNA from Mauremys mutica (yellowpond turtle), 830 nucleotides. RefSeq lists it as uncharacterized. NCBI's taxonomy places the organism in Eukaryota, Metazoa, Chordata, Testudines, Geoemydidae. The transcript has 3 exons. The record is from RefSeq and is a predicted model, not a curated record.